CUACGGGGUGCUCCAGUCGAGAAUCUUCCGCAAUGGGCGCAAGCCUGACGGAGCAAUGCCGCGUGAGGGAUGACGGCCCUAGGGUUGUAAACCUCUGUCAGAAGGGACGAAGAACGUGACGGUACCUUCAGAGGAAGCCAUGGCUAACUACGUGCCAGCAGCCGCGGUAAUACGUAGAUGGCGAGCGUUAUUCGGAUUUACUGGGCGUAAAGGGUCCGUAGGGGGUCUGCCAAGUCUGAUGUGAAAUCCUGCGGCUCAACCGCGGAACUGCAUUGGAAACUGGCGGACUAGAGUGUGCGAGGGGUGAGCGGAAUUCCUGGUGUAGCGGUGGAAUGCGUAGAUAUCAGGAAGAACACCGAUGGCGAAGGCGGCUCACUGGCGCAUCACUGACCCUGAGGGACGAAAGCGUGGGUAGCAAACAGGAUUAGAUACCCUAGUAGUC
Molecule: ribosomal RNA, 442 nt
Filed under: uncultured bacterium
Lineage: Bacteria
Description: partial 16S ribosomal RNA
Rfam family: Bacterial small subunit ribosomal RNA
Source: RNAcentral